GACGAACGCUGGCGGCGUGCUUAAUACAUGCAAGUCGAGCGAGGCCUUGGAAUUGGAGUCCUUCGGGAUGAAGAGUCCUUGGCCUAGCGGCGGACGGGUGAGUAACGCGUGGGCAACCUACCCCAAAGUCCGGGAUAACAGUGGGAAACCGCUGCUAAUACCGGAUGGCUUUACCUGAGGGCAUCCUUGGGUAAAGAAAGGUUACGCUUUGGGAUGGGCCCGCGUCCCAUUAGCUAGUUGGUGAGGUAACGGCUCACCAAGGCGACGAUGGGUAGCCGGCCUGAGAGGGUGAACGGCCACACUGGGACUGAGACACGGCCCAGACUCCUACGGGAGGCAGCAGUAGGGAAUAUUGCGCAAUGGGCGGAAGCCUGACGCAGCGACGCCGCGUGAGCGAAGAAGGCCUUCGGGUCGUAAAGCUCUGUCCUUGGGGAAGAAGGCGAAAGCUUGACGGUACCCAAGAAGAAAGCCCCGGCUAACUACGUG
RNAcentral lists this ribosomal RNA (486 nucleotides) under uncultured bacterium. RNAcentral's name for it is "bacterial SSU rRNA". It matches the Rfam family "Bacterial small subunit ribosomal RNA", at positions 28 to 507 of the family's 1533-position model. The record is from RNAcentral.